Molecule: ribosomal RNA, 301 nt
Filed under: uncultured bacterium
Lineage: Bacteria
Description: partial 16S ribosomal RNA
Rfam family: Bacterial small subunit ribosomal RNA
Source: RNAcentral
CAGCAGCCGCGGUAAUACGUAGGUGGCAAGCGUUGUCCGGAAUUAUUGGGCGUAAAGGGUACGUAGGCGGUUUUUUAAGUCAGGUGUGAAAGCGUGAGGCUUAACCUCAUUAAGCACUUGAAACUGGAAGACUUGAGUGAAGGAGAGGAAAGUGGAAUUCCUAGUGUAGCGGUGAAAUGCGUAGAUAUUAGGAGGAAUACCGGUGGCGAAGGCGACUUUCUGGACUUUUACUGACGCUCAGGUACGAAAGCGUGGGGAGCAAACAGGAUUAGAUACCCGUGUAGUCCCUGUCUCUUAUACA